RNAcentral lists this ribosomal RNA (465 nucleotides) under uncultured bacterium. RNAcentral describes it as "partial 16S ribosomal RNA". It matches the Rfam family "Bacterial small subunit ribosomal RNA", at positions 28 to 506 of the family's 1533-position model. The record is from RNAcentral.
GAUGAACGCUGGCGGCGUGCUUAACACAUGCAAGUCGAACGGAAAGGCUCCUGCUUGCAGGGGUACUCGAGUGGCGAACGGGUGAGUAACACGUGGGUGAUCUGCCCAGCACUUCGGGAUAAGCCUGGGAAACUGGGUCUAAUACCGGAUAGGACGAUGGUUUGGAUGCCAUUGUGGAAAGUUUUUUCGGUGUGGGAUGAGCUCGCGGCCUAUCAGCUUGUUGGUGGGGUAAUGGCCUACCAAGGCGUCGACGGGUAGCCGGCCUGAGAGGGUGUACGGCCACAUUGGGACUGAGAUACGGCCCAGACUCCUACGGGAGGCAGCAGUGGGGAAUAUUGCACAAUGGGCGCAAGCCUGAUGCAGCGACGCCGCGUGGGGGAUGACGGCCUUCGGGUUGUAAACUCCUUUCGCUAGGGACGAAGCGCAAGUGACGGUACCUGGAGAAGAAGCACCGGCUAACUACGU